AGGGUCGGCCAGGCGGUCGCGUCACCGAAAGGUGCCGAGGAACGUCCGGGCUCCACAGAGCAGGAUGGUGGGUAACACCCACCCGGAGUAAUCCGCGAGACAGUGCCACAGAAAAUAGACCGCCCGCAAGGGUAAGGGUGAAACGGUGGUGUAAGAGACCACCAGCGGUCAAGGUGACUUGGCCGGCUAGGUAAACCUCGUCCGGAGCAAGACCAUGCAGAUGCCGUUGACGCUGCUCGCCGAGGCAUCGGGUAGGUUGCUAGAACGGCGCGGCAACGCGCCGUCGAGAUAGAUGACCGUCCACGACAGAACCCGGCGUAUCGGCCGGCCCCUCAA
This 336-nucleotide RNase P RNA is filed under the name Actinomycetota bacterium. Its description in RNAcentral is "Actinobacteria bacterium RNase P RNA component class A". It matches the Rfam family "Bacterial RNase P class A". From Rfam's summary of the family: Ribonuclease P (RNase P) is a ubiquitous endoribonuclease, found in archaea, bacteria and eukarya as well as chloroplasts and mitochondria. Its best characterised activity is the generation of mature 5'-ends of tRNAs by cleaving the 5'-leader elements of precursor-tRNAs. Lineage: Bacteria; Bacillati; Actinomycetota. The record is from RNAcentral.